AGGACGAACGCUGGCGGCGUGCUUAACACAUGCAAGUCGAGCGGGAAAGGCCCUUCGGGGUACUCGAGCGGCGAACGGGUGAGUAACACGUGAGUAAUCUGCCCCUAGCUCUGGGAUAGCUCCGGGAAACCGGGAUUAAUACCAGAUACGACCACUUUAGACAUCUGUUGUGGUGGAAAGAAUUUUGGCUAGGGAUGAGCUCGCGGCCUAUCAGCUUGUUGGUGAGGUAACGGCUCACCAAGGCGACGACGGGUAGCCGGCCUGAGAGGGCGACCGGCCACACUGGGACUGAGACACGGCCCAGACUCCUACGGGAGGCAGCAGUGGGGAAUAUUGCGCAAUGGGCGAAAGCCUGACGCAGCGACGCCGCGUGGGGGAUGAAGGCCUUCGGGUUGUAAACCCUUUCAGCAGGGACGAAGCGAAAGUGACGGUACCUGCAGAAGAAGCGCCGGCUAACUACGUGCCAGCAGCCGC
This 474-nucleotide ribosomal RNA is filed under the name uncultured bacterium. RNAcentral describes it as "SSU rRNA". It matches the Rfam family "Bacterial small subunit ribosomal RNA", at positions 26 to 518 of the family's 1533-position model. The record is from RNAcentral.